RNAcentral lists this ribosomal RNA (253 nucleotides) under uncultured bacterium. Its description in RNAcentral is "partial 16S ribosomal RNA". It matches the Rfam family "Bacterial small subunit ribosomal RNA", at positions 524 to 776 of the family's 1533-position model. The record is from RNAcentral.
UACAGAGGGUGCGAGCGUUGAUCGGAAUUACUGGGCGUAAAGCGCGCGUAGGCGGCUUUGCAAGUCGGGUGUGAAAUCCCCAGGCUUAACCUGGGAACUGCAUUCGAGACUGCAUUGCUAGAGUAUGGGAGAGGGAAGUGGAAUUUCCGGUGUAGCGGUGAAAUGCGUAGAUAUCGGAAGGAACAUCAGUGGCGAAAGCGACUUCCUGGACCAAGACUGACGCUCAGGUGCGAAAGCGUGGGGAGCAAACAGG